UAUACAUGCAGUCGAGCGGACAGAUGGGAGCUUGCUCCCUGAUGUUAGCGGCGGACGGGUGAGUAACACGUGGGUAACCUGCCUGUAAGACUGGGAUAACUCCGGGAAACCGGGGCUAAUACCGGAUGGUUGUUUGAACCGCAUGGUUCAGACAUAAAAGGUGGCUUCGGCUACCACUUACAGAUGGACCCGCGGCGCAUUAGCUAGUUGGUGAGGUAACGGCUCACCAAGGCCACGAGGCUUAGCCGACCUGAGAGGGUGAU
RNAcentral lists this ribosomal RNA (263 nucleotides) under Bacillus subtilis. RNAcentral describes it as "partial 16S ribosomal RNA". It matches the Rfam family "Bacterial small subunit ribosomal RNA", at positions 50 to 304 of the family's 1533-position model. Lineage: Bacteria; Bacillati; Bacillota; Bacilli; Caryophanales; Bacillaceae. The record is from RNAcentral.